RNAcentral lists this long non-coding RNA (910 nucleotides) under Helianthus annuus (common sunflower). The record is from RNAcentral. Lineage: Eukaryota; Viridiplantae; Streptophyta; Magnoliopsida; Asterales; Asteraceae.
AUGGGGUCGGGGGUCGUGACAGAAGAAACUUUGCUUCAUUUUAAGUGUUUUUACUCCCGGUCACCGUUACCCUUUUCGAUUGAUCCGAGUCCCAUAACGCAUGUCGAGGCUCUGCCCGACUAAGUUCGUUUGGAUUCUAUCUCGGGACUUCGGGACAAGGUUGAUUUAGGGGUAUUAUACUUAUCACGAGUGCAUUAUAUUUUUAAUAACCCAAAGGUUAUAUCCAAAACUUAUACCAGGAGUCCUUCUAGUUGAACCCUAAAGUUACACAGUGGGUCCAUUCCUUUUUCUCACCAUUUUAUUCUCUUUUUAUGAUUUACCCAAAACUAUUAUUCUAUUCUCAUUAAAAGUCAUAUCUAUCAUUUUAUUUACCCAAUAGGAAACCAUAGUUGAGACACCCAAGUAAUUCUGCACUAACCCUAGAAUUUCCAGAGCAAUCAGAAUCAGGAUCAGGGGCCCUAAAACUCAGGGGGGGGGCAAAACCCUAAUAACGAUUAUCUUCAUAACUCAUUAUAAAAUUCGAAAUUUAUAAAACCAUCGACACAGCAAGCCUACAUGCACGAAGGGCUACUCUAUGAAAAUAGGGUGGUCACUCGCGUAGCGCGACGGCUAAGGGGGUACCCCUCGCGCUACGCGACGGUGUCAAAAUUUCAGUAUAAAUAGCAGGAGUUGGGACUUGAAUUUUGGCACUUGAACGACGAAAAUCGGAGUUACGUAGGUCGAGUUAUAAGCAAAACAGUCCAACACACACACACAAUUAUCGAAUCACUACCGCAAAACAGGGUAAUUAGUCGAUCGCUAUUACGAUUCAGUUUCCGGGAUCAAUAUACCCAAAGAAUGUCUAAGUGCUGCCCACAUUGGGCUAUGCUUUAUCGUUGUCGAUAAUUCGAUAAUGAGCCGAAGCAUUGUA